This 253-nucleotide ribosomal RNA is filed under the name uncultured bacterium. RNAcentral describes it as "partial 16S ribosomal RNA". It matches the Rfam family "Bacterial small subunit ribosomal RNA", at positions 524 to 776 of the family's 1533-position model. The record is from RNAcentral.
UACGAAGGGUGCAAGCGUUACUCGGAAUUACUGGGCGUAAAGCGUGCGUAGGUGGUUCGUUAAGUCUGAUGUGAAAGCCCUGGGCUCAACCUGGGAAUGGCAUUUGGGACUGCAAGGCUGGAGUGUGGCAGAGGAGACUGGAAUUCCUGGUGUAGCAGUGAAAUGCGUAGAUAUCAGGAGGAAUACCGAUGGCGAAGGCAGGUCUCUGGGCUAACACUGACGCUCAUGCACGAAAGCGUGGGGAGCAAACAGG